Molecule: ribosomal RNA, 110 nt
Filed under: Saimiri boliviensis boliviensis (Bolivian squirrel monkey)
Lineage: Eukaryota; Metazoa; Chordata; Mammalia; Primates; Cebidae
Source: RNAcentral
GUCGAUGGCCAUACCACUUUGAAUGUGCCCAAUCUUGUCUGAUCUCAGAAGCUAAGCAGGGUCAGGCCUGGUUAGUACUUGGAUGUGAGGAAUCUUGUCCUCUGCUGAAA